This is a long non-coding RNA of Chenopodium quinoa (quinoa), 2278 nucleotides long. RefSeq lists it as uncharacterized. The record is from RefSeq and is a predicted model, not a curated record. The transcript has 9 exons. Lineage: Eukaryota; Viridiplantae; Streptophyta; Magnoliopsida; Caryophyllales; Amaranthaceae.
AUUCUGGCAACGACUACAAAUAUACCGUUGCAAAUCUUGUUGCAAAAAAUAAAAUUUUCGUUCCCCUCCAACAACCAUUAGCGCGGGCAAUGAAAAUUUCGGGGUAAAAAUUUAAAACUAAGAUUUGCAACGAAAGUAGUCGUAUCAAAUAAAAAAAUUAAUGUAUAGCCACAACAGUAGUUGUUGCGAAAAAUUAAGUCUUGAGUAUUGUAACAACUAUAGUUUGUGGCAAAAAAGAUCAAUAUGUUUAACAACAAUAAUAAUCAUUGCCAACAAUAUAUCAAAAAUAAAAAAAAUAAAACAAAUAGCCAAAUUAAACAAAAGACAUACAACUAAUUCCCAUCCUUUUUUUAUUUCAUUUUGUUCUUAUUCUAAGAACAAAAAAACCCCAGACCACUUUCCCACUCAAGAACCUUACACAAUUUCAUUUUCUUUCCUUCAUUGUUCUUCGGCGGCGGCUACAGUGAACGACUUCACCAGCGACACAUCCUUCCUCAGGCGACACUACUUGGCCUUUGCAUGUACAUCCAAACAUUAAAAGCAUACGAUCAAAAUAGAGCACAUCCUAAAGGUUCUAUUGCCGAAGGUUAUCUUGCAGAUGAGUGCUUAACAUUCUGCUCAAGAUAUAUGAGUGACAUUGAUACUAAGUUCAAUCGAAAAUCAAGAAAUGAUGAUGAUGGGGAUUAGGUUGUUGAAGGUACCAGGACUUCAAAUCUUGAGAUAUUUAGACCACUUGGUCGUUGUAUUGGACAGGGUGUUCCUGUACAUCUCAGUUUUGAGGAGUGUGAUCAAAUUCAUUCUUAUAUUCUCCAUAAUUGUGAUGAGCUUAUUGAGAGGCACAAGCUGGAGUUGGAAAAGGAGUGCACAAGAAAUAUAGAACAAGGCAUAAAACAAAAUUUUCCAAAUGGAUUUUUUAGCAUGUAUGAAACUGAUAAUAUGAUAGGUUUAGAAAAUGCAACUCAAGGUACAAGUAAGAGAAGGGGAAGAGGAAACAGGGGGAAAUAUAAAAGUUAUGUUGUUGACAUGAAAAUCAAGGGAAAAGGCUCUAAACUUUCAGUUUACAUCCCUGAUGAAAUUGAUCGUGCAACUGGAGAAAAUGCGAGACACCUAGUGAAUGAGUGUGGUCAUGUGGUCAGAACUAAGGCCCAAUUGGAUGUUCGAAAUUGGUAGGAAGCUUUUUCAGUUGCUGUUGAAAGUAUGUGGAAAGAAAUACAGGACAAGUUUGAAAUUGAAUCUAGCCGGACUUUGAAGAUGUACGGUUUCGUUGUCGACACCAUGCAACGAUUAUAUAGGUUGUGAAAAUGUCGGCUACAUUACUACUACAAGAGUCCCAAAUGUGGAAAAGAUGAUGCUGAGCGUAUGAAGAAUCCUCCCCCUGAUGUACCCUUAGAGCAAUGGAAAUCUUGUGUAAAGCAUUUUGGAUCACCUGAAUUUAAGUUUGUAAGUGAAAGGAACUCUAAGAAUCGACUGUCUACCAAUACAUGUAUUCAUACAACUGGUAAUUGGGCUUUUGUGGAAGUAGAAGAUGUACUGACGAAAGAGAAUGGAAAUGUAAAGCCUUCUGCAGAUGUAAUAUAGCUUAUUGAACACACACACUAUAAUGGGAAAGGCGAGCUAUAAUGGGCAAAUGGGAUACGCUCAAAAGAAGUACAUGAUAAAUUAAAAGAUGUUGUUUCUAAGGUAGGGGAUUCAAUGACUCAAGAGGAGAUAUUGAUUCAAGUUUUAGGUUCAAGGUCUGGUCACUUUCGUGGAAAAGGUUCUGCUAUCCGGGCUUAUUGUAAAAACAAACAACUAGAGCAAAACAAACUUGUAUCUGAACAACAAGAAAAAAUUCAAGAACAAGAAAAAAAGAUUAAAGAGCUAGAAUAAAUCCAGCAAAAGCAACAACAAGAACUAGAGGAGUACAAAAAACAACAAGAAGAGCAAAUAGAGGCUUUUAAAAAGGACUUAUUGUAGCAGCUUGCAAAUAGAGGACUCUAGUUAAUUUUAACAACAAGGUGCCAUGGUCAUUCAUUUUGGAGGUUUGAUGAAAGGAUUUUUUUGCCAAGGAUUGUGCUUUCCUUUUAAUGACUGAAGGUCUCUUUUAUGUUUAUUAAGCACAUGAAAAUGUAAUUUUUUGGUGCUAAAAAAGAUAGGAGAAUGUUAGAAAGUAUUCGACAUUAUAUAUGUAGUAUAAUGUCAUUAUUUAUAUUAAGAACAUUAAAGGAUCCUUAGUUAGUUUGUGGAUUAAUACCAAAAUAUAUCAUGUAUUUGACAGGUCUAAUUACAAUUAUUACCA